GACGAACGCUGGCGGCGCGCCUAACACAUGCAAGUCGAACGAGAGAUGAGGAGCUUGCUCUUCAAAUCGAGUGGCGAACGGGUGAGUGACGCGUGAGGAACCUGCCUCAAAGAGGGGGACAACAGUUGGAAACGACUGCUAAUACCGCAUAAGCCCACGGCUCGGCAUCGAGCAGAGGGAAAAGGAGCAAUCCGCUUUGAGAUGGCCUCGCGUCCGAUUAGCUAGUUGGUGAGGUAACGGCCCACCAAGGCGACGAUCGGUAGCCGGACUGAGAGGUUGAACGGCCACAUUGGGACUGAGACACGGCCCAGACUCCUACGGGAGGCAGCAGUGGGGGAUAUUGCACAAUGGGGGAAACCCUGAUGCAGCGACGCCGCGUGGAGGAAGAAGGUCUUCGGAUUGUAAACUCCUGUUGUUGAGGAAGAUAAUGACGGUACUCAACAAGGAAGUGACGGCUAACUACGUGCCAGCAGCCGCGGUAAAACGUAGGUCACAAGCGUUGUCCGGAAUUACUGGGUGUAAAGGGAGCGCAGGCGGGAGAACAAGUUGGAAGUGAAAUCCAUGGGCUCAACCCAUGAACUGCUUUCAAAACUGUUUUUCUUGAGUAGUGCAGAGGUAGGCGGAAUUCCCGGUGUAGCGGUGGAAUGCGUAGAUAUCGGGAGGAACACCAGUGGCGAAGGCGGCCUACUGGGCACCAACUGACGCUGAGGCUCGAAAGUGUGGGUAGCAAACAGGAUUAGAUACCCUGGUAGUCCACACCGUAAACGAUGAUUACUAGGUGUUGGAGGAUUGACCCCUUCAGUGCCGCAGUUAACACAAUAAGUAAUCCACCUGGGGAGUACGACCGCAAGGUUGAAACUCAAAGGAAUUGACGGGGGCCCGCACAAGCAGUGGAGUAUGUGGUUUAAUUCGACGCAACGCGAAGAACCUUACCAAGUCUUGACAUCCCUUGACGAUGCUGGAAACAGUAUUUCUCUUCGGAGCAAGGAGACAGGUGGUGCAUGGUUGUCGUCAGCUCGUGUCGUGAGAUGUUGGGUUAAGUCCCGCAACGAGCGCAACCCUUAUGGUCAGUUACUACGCAAGAGGACUCUGGCCAGACUGCCGUUGACAAAACGGAGGAAGGUGGGGAUGACGUCAAAUCAUCAUGCCCUUUAUGACUUGGGCUACACACGUACUACAAUGGCGUUAAACAAAGAGAAGCAAGACCGCGAGGUGGAGCAAAAUUCAGAAACAACGUCCCAGUUCGGACUGCAGGCUGCAAUUCGCCUGCAGGAAUUGGGAAUUGUUAGUAAUCGUGAAUCAGCAUGCCACGGUGAAUACGUUCCCGGCCCUG
This 1333-nucleotide ribosomal RNA is filed under the name uncultured bacterium. RNAcentral's name for it is "bacterial SSU rRNA". It matches the Rfam family "Bacterial small subunit ribosomal RNA", at positions 28 to 1383 of the family's 1533-position model. The record is from RNAcentral.